AAUGACAAUUUUGAAUAGGUGAUCUAAUCCAUAUUUGGAAUUAAUUUUUUUGUACAAAACAAUUAUUACGUCAUAAAGAUGUUAUCAUGACGAAAAUCGUAUGUAGUUUAUCAAAAUAUAUAAAACUCGCAUUCGAAACCAGUAAAUGGUCACAUUGAAAACGUUACAAAUCAUCAAACUUCACAUUGCAUUUAUUUGUGGUUUAACUUUCUUGGGGUUAUUCUACAUAAGCAUCAUGUCUACGGACGAACGUUGUAUUUUCUGCAAAAUCUGCGCGCAUAAAGAAGAAGCGGCAAUUUUAUAUGAAGAUGGAGAAUUCAUUGUGUUCAAAGAUAUCAAACCAGCCACUGAACAUCACUAUUUAGUAAUUCCUAAAAUUCAUAUUAAAGGAGCUAAUGUUUUAACUAAAGAGCAUUUGCCGAUGUUGGAAAAAAUGGAACAUUUAGCAAAACAAAUUUUACAAGAACAAGGAGCUUCCUUAGACGAUAUCCGUUUGGGCUUCCAUUGGCCACCUUUUAACAGCAUUAACCAUUUACAUUUACAUGCAAUGGGACCUGCUAAAAAUAUGGGAAUUAUAUCAAAGUCAAUAUUUAAACCUGAUUCAUUUUGGUUUGUUACUCUGGAUUAUAUGUACAUUAGACUUAACAAACUCUAAUUAUUGUUGUUGCACUAACUUUUAGAUAAUUGUAUUACUCACAAGUUUAAAUUUUAGAAAUUGAUGGUUUUUUGGUUGUGAUACUAAAUAAUUUUUUAUUGUUUGUUUUUAUUAAUGGUUAUAUACAAAAUUUUAACUAAUAAAUCAAUAAUGAAGGCCCCACUGCACUAUGAUAUGUAACAACACCAUCAUUUCUCCACUAACACAAAUAUAAAAAAAUUGAGGGGUUUUGAAAGCCUAAAAAAGGAAAAUAUUCAUCAACAGUCAAUUUUAAAUUAUAAUUUUUAAUCUGCUGAUGAAUGUCAUACACACUAAUUAAAUUUACAGAAAAUUUUUACGUAAAACGAUAUAUGCAAGUAUAUGUAUGAACACAAAGUAAAAGAAAUAUUUUGAUAAAUUUUAUAUUUUGCGUAAUUUGAAGUGAAAAAACGAAAUCCAAUUCAAACGAAAUAAUUUCGCGGUUUUUCUGUGUCGUAGGAAGUGCAUAGUCUCAACAACUUAAAUUGUCCGUUAGAUGGCGCUCGCGGUAUGACAGUUUCAAAACAAAACCAUGGAUGUAAUAGAGAGUCUCUAUUGCAACCAUGAACAAAACAUAAUAAACAUAACCUAUAAAUA
Molecule: unclassified non-coding RNA, 1270 nt
Filed under: Onthophagus taurus
Lineage: Eukaryota; Metazoa; Arthropoda; Insecta; Coleoptera; Scarabaeidae
Description: histidine triad nucleotide-binding protein 3-like, transcript variant X1
Source: RNAcentral